GAAAUGCGAUAAGUAGUGUGAAUUGCAGAAUUUAGCGAAUCAUCGAAUCUUUGAACGCACAUUGCGCCCCUUGGUAUUCCAUGGGGCAUGCCUGUUCGAGCGUCAUUUCAACCCUCAAGCACUGCUUGGUGUUGGGCGUUUGUCCCGCCUACGCGCGUGGACUCGCCUCAAAGUCAUUGGCAGUUGUUCCCCUUCGGCUCGUAAGCGCAGCACAGUCGGCGCCCGGAGCUCUGGUGGGAUGGCGUCCAGCAAGCUAUAUUUUCAGGCUUGACCUCGGAUCAGGUAGGGAUACCCGCUGAACUUAAGC
Molecule: unclassified non-coding RNA, 307 nt
Filed under: plant metagenome
Description: partial contains 5.8S ribosomal RNA, internal transcribed spacer 2, and large subunit ribosomal RNA
Rfam family: 5.8S ribosomal RNA (bases 1-105)
Source: RNAcentral